UGGGGGAUAUUGCACAAUGGGCGAAAGCCUGAUGCAGCGACGCCGCGUGGGGGAUGAAGGCUUUCGGGUUGUAAACCUCUUUCGCUAUCGAACAAGGCCCGCUUAGGGUGGGUUGAGGGUAGGUGGAGAAGAAGCGCCGGCUAACUACGUGCCAGCAGCCGCGGUAACACGUAGGGCGCGAGCGUUGUCCGGAAUUAUUGGGCGUAAAGGGCUUGUAUGCGGCUUGUUGCGCCUGCUGUGAAAACGCGGGGCUUAACUUCGCGCGUGCAGGGGGUACGGGCAGGCUUGAGUGUGGUAGGGGUGACUGGAAUUCCAGGUGUAGCGGUGGAAUGCGCAGAUAUCUGGAGGAACGCCGAUGGCGAAGGCAGGUCACUGGGCCAUUACUGACGCUGAGGAGCGAAAGCAUGGGUAGCGAACAGG
RNAcentral lists this ribosomal RNA (420 nucleotides) under bacterium. Its description in RNAcentral is "partial 16S ribosomal RNA". It matches the Rfam family "Bacterial small subunit ribosomal RNA", at positions 355 to 776 of the family's 1533-position model. The record is from RNAcentral.